RNAcentral lists this ribosomal RNA (1348 nucleotides) under metagenome. Its description in RNAcentral is "bacterial LSU rRNA". It matches the Rfam family "Bacterial large subunit ribosomal RNA", at positions 1564 to 2925 of the family's 2925-position model. The record is from RNAcentral.
CGAGUCCGGCAAGCUACGGCUUGUCAGUGAUGGCGAUCAUACUUCCCAGAAAAGCCCGGACUAUCGUAAAUUCUAAAUACUUGUACCCGAAACCGACACAGGUGGGGAGGUUGAGAAAACUAAGGGGCGCGAGAUAACUCUCUCUAAGGAACUCGGCAAAAUGACCCCGUAACUUCGGGAGAAGGGGUGCCACCGCAAGGUGGUCGCAGUAAAGAGGCCCAGGCGACUGUUUACCAAAAACACAGGUCUCCGCCAAGUCGCAAGACGCAGUAUGGGGGCUGACGCCUGCCCAGUGCCGGAAGGUUAAGGAAGUUGGUCAGGAGUAAUCUAAAGCUGACGACUGAAGCCCCGGUGAACGGCGGCCGUAACUAUAACGGUCCUAAGGUAGCGAAAUUCCUUGUCGGGUAAGUUCCGACCCGCACGAAAGGCGUAACGAUCUGGGCACUGUCUCGGAGAGAGACUCGGCGAAAUAGGAUUGUCUGUGAAGAUACGGACUACCUGCACCUGGACAGAAAGACCCUAUGAAGCUUUACUGUAGCCUGGAAUUGGCUUCGGGCUUCGCUUGCGCAGGAUAGGUGGGAGGCGUUGACAUUCCCCUUGUGUGGGGAAUUGAGCCAACGGUGAGAUACCACUCUAGCGAGGCUAGAAGUCUAACUUUCGCCCAUUAUCUGGGGAAAGAACAGUUUCAGGUGGGCAGUUUGACUGGGGCGGUCGCCUCCUAAAUGGUAACGGAGGCGUACAAAGGUUUCCUCAGGCUGGUUGGAAAUCAGCCAUAGAGUGCAAAAGCAGAAGGAAGCUUGACUGCGAGACCUACAAGUCGAGCAGGGACGAAAGUCGGUUUUAGUGAUCCGACGGCGCCGCGUGGAAGGGCCGUCGCUCAACGGAUAAAAGUUACUCUAGGAUAACAGGCUGAUCUCCCCCAAGAGUCCACAUCGACGGGGAGGUUUGGCACCUCGAUGUCGGCUCAUCGCAACCUGGGGCGGAAGUACGUCCCAAGGGUUGGGCUGUUCGCCCAUUAAAGCGGUACGUGAGCUGGGUUCAGAACGUCGUGAGACAGUUCGGUCCAUAUCCGGUGCAGGCGCAAGAGCAUUGAGAGGAGCCUUCCUUAGUACGAGAGGACCGGGAAGGGCGCACCACUGGUGUACCUGUUAUCGUGCCAACGGUAGACGCAGGGUAGCCAAGUGCGGAGUGGAUAACCGCUGAAAGCAUCUAAGUGGGAAGCCCACCUCAAGAUGAUUGCUCUCACAGGGUUAACCUGGUAAGGUCACGGGCAGAACACCCGUUAUUAGGCACUAGGUGGAAGUUCAGCAAUGAAUGUAGCCAAGGUGUACUAACAGACCGAGGGCUU